This 2465-nucleotide long non-coding RNA is filed under the name Pan troglodytes (chimpanzee). Its description in RNAcentral is "long non-coding RNA NONPTRT009391". Lineage: Eukaryota; Metazoa; Chordata; Mammalia; Primates; Hominidae. The record is from RNAcentral.
CACAAUUUCAUCCCACAUCUAAGCACAGCCUCCAGGCAAUGUUCAAACCUGAGAUAAGAUUCAAUUCCCCACACGGGCUUUACGGUGUGACAUAUGCAGAAAACGUCAUUUUAGUGCUAAAAGUGAGGCAAUAUUCCAGAAAACAGAGGAAAGGGACAAGAAACAGAUUAAAAGCAAAACACGUUUAAAUAUUCAUGAGAACAAUGCUACCGAUGUCCAUGAAAUUUUGUGCAGUACUGCACUGUGAAGCUAAGCCCAUUUCCAAAAACAGCUGAAUGGAAAGAUCUAUUGUUCCCUUUACAGCAAGGCAGCAGACUUUUUACAGAGAUUAAUUGACUGGCCCAAGUCACAAGGUAGGUGACAGAGUGGGCUGAACACGUAACCACCAUCCUAAGCACUGGGUCAAAAAAAACAAAGGCUGACUGUCAACUGAAAUUUAAAAGACGCAAAGACCAUCAGUCGGGUGCCCAAGCUGGUGAAUGAUGCAACCAACUGACAGAAGAUGGAGAGGGAAAAGGGCAGCUUUUGUAAAUUUGGGGACAUCUGACAAAAAGCUGAUAACACAGGUGGGAGUUUUUUGUUUGGGAUUUUUUUUUUUUUCUUAAGACAGGGUCUUGCUUUGUCACCCAGACUGGAGUGCAAUGGCUCAAUCAUAGCUCACUGUAGCUUCAAACUCCGGGGCUCAAGUGAACCUCCCGGGAUCAAGUGACCCUCCCGCCUCACCCUCCGGAGUAGCUGGGACUACAGGCGCGUGCCACCACGCCGACCUAAGUUUUUUUUUUUUGUAGAGAGGGGUCUAGCUAUGUUGCCCAGGCUGGUCUCCAUCUCCUGGGCUCAAAGCUAUCCUCCCUCCUAGGCCUCCCAGAGUGCAGGGGUUACAGGCAUAAGCCACCGCUCCGGGCCGGCCACAGCUGUCUUUCCUGGUUCACGGUCACCCAAACGCCGGCUCGAAGUGUGGGAGAGGAGGUUGGGGGCGACCCCAGGUGGGCAUUGCUGGCGUCCGGCUGUCAAUCCACAGCUCACGUCCUCACAGGUGCGCGCCUAGAGUCACGCGUCCAGCACCGCCCGGCUGGCCGGGAAGAGGCGACCGGGUCCGUGGUCCGAGUCCCGCACCUCCGGCCUCUCUCUGGGCCCCGGGGCAACCGCCCCUCCCGGGCCGCACAGGCCGCACUGAGGGCGCCACUCCGGGGCUCCUGAACUCCCGGGCUCCCGGCGGGGACGAGGCGCAGGGACGGGGGCACUUCCGGCUCGCGGGGCCCGGGUCGCCCGCCCGCCCGACCCGCCCACCUGGCUGUCGCUGACGCAGAAGACGCGGCCGCCACGGCUCAGGCACACGCGGGCGCCGGGGGGCUGCGCGGCCGCGCCGCAGAAGGUGAAGGAACAGCGCGAGGCACGCAGCCGCCGCACCGUGGCGCGCACGAGCUCAGCCGGCCGGCGACCCCAGCGCGCCCACAGGACAGUGGCAGCCGGAAAGUGGGUUCCUGCAUGGUAACAAGACCUUAAAAUUGUGUCACUGGAGAAGGACGUGCAGUUCCCGCUGAGGAGAGACUUGGCCACUCCAGGACAACACAGGACUACAAGUCAGGAAUUUGAAGAUGAAAAGUGCUCAACAGUGAUAAAUCCUAAAUGUUUCACUGAACAACCUUUCAGAUAGCCUUCUUGAAGUUUGCUGAAUUAUGGCUAUAAGGACCACUCCCCACCCCUGCUUGGUAUGGAGAGGUCAUCUCCUCUAUCUGAAGGUGACCAACAUCUCCAGUUUUUCCAAAUUCCCUAAGGGUUUUGAGACCACACCUUCCCACAGGUACUGUAACUCCACCUGGCCAAUAGGAAUUUUCCAGGUUUACCCUUAGGUGUUUCGAGAUAUGGUCUCAGAAUACAUCAUGGGAAAAUUACAUUUUGGGGUCAAUCCUGUAUACCAAUUCUAGGUUAAAAGCAUGGGGACCACCAUGGUUCAACAUGAGCUGACCCUUGCAUUGAAGAGUACUGAUACCAUUCAUGCCUGGGGAAGGAAUAGAGGGAGGAAGAUAUGAAGGGCACAGUGAGAAGUGAAACAGUCACAUAACAAGCUCUGUUUAUGAUCCCGCCCUAAAAUGAUUUCAUUUUGCAAAGGUCAAGGAUAGAGUUGAGUUUCAUCACCCCUAUAUAACAAAGGAAUAGGGGAAGGAUGCAAAAAUAAUACACCAAGGGAUAUUAAUGUGUAUGCACCUGAUCCUCAUCCUGUAGUCCCUCACUGCUCAAAGUGUGGUCCUCAGAGCAGCAGCAGCAGCAUCACUUGGAAGCUCGCAAGAAAAGUGGAAUCCUAGGCCCCACCCAACCCCAAAUCAGCGUCUGCAUUUUGACAAAAUCCCGGGAGACUCACAAACACAUUAAAGUUAGAGAAGCACUGCUAACAUCUUCCUCUGUCAUUCCCUGGGUCUGGGCUACUCUAGACUCUAAUAAGACAUUUCCAAAAUGAUGUGGAAAAU